Molecule: ribosomal RNA, 496 nt
Filed under: uncultured bacterium
Lineage: Bacteria
Description: partial 16S ribosomal RNA
Rfam family: Bacterial small subunit ribosomal RNA
Source: RNAcentral
GAUGAACGCUGGCGGCGUGCCUAAUACAUGCAAGUCGAGCGAACGGACGAGAAGCUUGCUUCUCUGAUGUUAGCGGCGGACGGGUGAGUAACACGUGGAUAACCUACCUAUAAGACUGGGAUAACUUCGGGAAACCGGAGCUAAUACCGGAUAAUAUUUUGAACCGCAUGGUUCAAAAGUGAAAGACGGUCUUGCUGUCACUUAUAGAUGGAUCCGCGCUGCAUUAGCUAGUUGGUAAGGUAACGGCUUACCAAGGCAACGAUGCAUAGCCGACCUGAGAGGGGGAGCGGCCACACUGGAACUGAGAGACGGUCCAGACUCCUACGGGAGGCAGGAGUAGGGAAGCUGCCGCAAUGGGCGAAAGCCUGACGGAGCAACGCAGCGUGAGUGAUGAAGGUCUUCGGAUCGUAAAACGCUGUUAUGAGGGAAGAACAUAUGUGUAAGUAACUGUGCACAUCUGGACGGUACCAAAUCAGAAGGCCACGGCUAACUACGG